GGCAUGUGUACUCUGCUUCUGCAGAAGUGAGGAGCGCCUGUGACCCUGUUUAUACUCUGGAGAUGUGCAUGACUGGUUUGGACAGGGAGAUGGCUUCUGUAUUCUACAAAACCCACUCAAGCUCAGCAGUUAAAAUGACUGACACUUCUGGUAUUAGAAAGAUUCUUCCAGAUUCUGAAAUAUGUGAUUUUGAAUUUGAUCCAUGUGGUUAUUCCAUGAAUGCCAUUGAAGGAGCUGCAAUUUCCACCAUUCAUGUCACGCCUGAAGAUGGUUUUAGUUAUGCUAGCUUUGAAACGAUGGGAUAUAAUCCAAAAGAUGUGAACCUGAGCCAGCUGAUUGAAAGGGUGUUGUCUUGUUUCCAACCGAAUGAGUUCUCUGUAGCGGUGCAUGCUGACAUCUCGGGUAAGUUACUUGAGCGAAAUUGCCUUCUGGAUGUAAAGGGAUACUGUUGUGAAGAGAGAAGCAACGAAGAACUUGGUAUGUGUGGUUCCAU
This 493-nucleotide long non-coding RNA is filed under the name Vitis vinifera (wine grape). RNAcentral describes it as "long non-coding RNA (VVIN_LNC000229)". The record is from RNAcentral. Lineage: Eukaryota; Viridiplantae; Streptophyta; Magnoliopsida; Vitales; Vitaceae.